GGAGGGCGACAAUUACGUCGAAAUUUCCUACUCACCGGUUUUACCGCAGUCGCCGGAAUAUUAGUGAGACUUCUCGAGCGAAAAAAUAUCCUCGGCUCACGAUCAUAUGAAGCAGCUAAAGUACAAAUUGGUGGUGGUGCUGUCCAGCCCUCAGA
Long non-coding RNA from Trachymyrmex cornetzi, 155 nucleotides. RefSeq lists it as uncharacterized. The transcript is spliced from 3 exons. NCBI's taxonomy places the organism in Eukaryota, Metazoa, Arthropoda, Insecta, Hymenoptera, Formicidae. The record is from RefSeq and is a predicted model, not a curated record.